RNAcentral lists this long non-coding RNA (451 nucleotides) under Phaseolus vulgaris (common bean). RNAcentral's name for it is "long non-coding RNA (PVUL_LNC003484)". Lineage: Eukaryota; Viridiplantae; Streptophyta; Magnoliopsida; Fabales; Fabaceae. The record is from RNAcentral.
GAGGAACUACUUGUAGAUUUAGUUUCUCAAUCAAUCUAGUGCUACAGCAAUUGCAGCAUGAUCCACCAUCCACAAUAAGAGAGCAUAUAUUUUCUAAAACAUUGCAUCUAGUAUGAAAGAUGUUCUCUCGUUGUGUCUCGAUGGAUGCACUAGGUUGAUUGUGGAGGAUUCUUUGAAUCAUCAAUAAGUCCCCCUCCAAAGGAUUUACCCUCUCUCCUUCCCCCUUUUCUUGUGUACUAGGUUCAUCCUCACCACUAGUGUACUCAUCUUUUCCUUUUAAGAACAAAGCCCUUUGGUUUGGACAUUGUGCUUGCACAUGUCCUAUUCCAAAACACUUAAAACACUUGGUGUCCCUAGCACGAAUGGGUGGGGUGGAGGCAUCUUUCACUAAAGGUUUGGUAGUUUCUUUGGGUUUGUCUCUAGAUGUGCUACCUUCUCUUUUAAAGUCUUU